Molecule: transfer RNA, 74 nt
Filed under: Saprospiraceae bacterium
Lineage: Bacteria; Pseudomonadati; Bacteroidota; Saprospiria; Saprospirales; Saprospiraceae
Rfam family: tRNA
About the family: Transfer RNA (tRNA) molecules are approximately 80 nucleotides in length. Their secondary structure includes four short double-helical elements and three loops (D, anti-codon, and T loops). Further hydrogen bonds mediate the characteristic L-shaped molecular structure. tRNAs have two regions of fundamental functional importance: the anti-codon, which is responsible for specific mRNA codon recognition, and the 3' end, to which the tRNAs corresponding amino acid is attached (by aminoacyl-tRNA synthetases). tRNAs cope with the degeneracy of the genetic code in two manners: having more than one tRNA (with a specific anti-codon) for a particular amino acid; and 'wobble' base-pairing, i.e. permitting non-standard base-pairing at the 3rd anti-codon position.
Source: Rfam by way of RNAcentral
CGGGACGUAGCGCAGCCUGGUAGCGUACUAGCAUGGGGUGCUAGGGGUCGCUGGUUCGAAUCCAGUCGUCCCGA